AACGAACGCUGGCGGCAGGCCUAACACAUGCAAGUCGAGCGGACCUUUCGGGGUCAGCGGCGGACGGGUGAGUAACGCGUGGGAAUAUGCCCUUCUCUACGGAAUAGUCCUGGGAAACUGGGGGUAAUACCGUAUACGCCCUUUGGGGGAAAGAUUUAUCGGGGAAGGAUUAGCCCGCGUUGGAUUAGGUAGUUGGUGGGGUAAUGGCCUACCAAGCCGACGAUCCAUAGCUGGUUUGAGAGGAUGAUCAGCCACACUGGGACUGAGACACGGCCCAGACCACUACGGGAGGCGGCAGGGGGGAAGCGUAGACAAGGGGGGCAAGCCUGAUAUCGCCAUGCCGUGGGAGUGAAAAAAGCCUUAGGGUUGUAAAGCUCUUUCAUAUGGGAAGAUAAUGACGGUACCAGAAGAAGAAGCCCCGGCUAACCCCUU
Molecule: ribosomal RNA, 432 nt
Filed under: uncultured bacterium
Lineage: Bacteria
Description: partial 16S ribosomal RNA
Rfam family: Bacterial small subunit ribosomal RNA
Source: RNAcentral